AAUCAAAUGAAAGGAGGUGGUCCAGUGUCUAGAAUGAUGGUGGAGUAUGAGGUCGGAACAGUCAUGGGGGCCAUCGCCUGAGGGCAAACCCUGAGGUGACAGAACCCUGAUUGGGCGCCGCUCUAACCGGGCCCAUCUCCAAAACAUUCGAAGGGCUGUCGGUUUCCGGCAGCCCU
This 176-nucleotide small RNA is filed under the name Palleronia aestuarii. Its description in RNAcentral is "Hwanghaeicola aestuarii caulobacter sRNA CC2171". The record is from RNAcentral. Lineage: Bacteria; Pseudomonadati; Pseudomonadota; Alphaproteobacteria; Rhodobacterales; Roseobacteraceae.